This is a long non-coding RNA of Oreochromis niloticus (Nile tilapia), 551 nucleotides long. RefSeq lists it as uncharacterized. The record is from RefSeq and is a predicted model, not a curated record. NCBI's taxonomy places the organism in Eukaryota, Metazoa, Chordata, Actinopteri, Cichliformes, Cichlidae. The transcript is spliced from 2 exons.
GUUACUUUACUUGGUCACCAUGUGAAUUUCUUUGAAAUGAACCAAAUUCUUUUAUUUUUGGUUGUUGCAUAUUUAAACUCUACAGUCAGGAAUGGCGGAGAUGAGGCCUCAACAAUGUUGGGUUGUAGCUGUGGUUCAGGUUAGAGAGUGUCCAUGGAAUAAUCUCCACUUUGACUUUUCUCUGUGACCAUCAGAGCUUCUGCACAGUGUCAUCAAAUCUGGAUGUUUGUCACUGACAGUCAAUGAUUUUAGUGAUAAAUGUGUCCACAGAGGGAGGAAGAGGAAGAGGAGCAGUGUGUGUGAGGAGCAGCAGCUGUCCUGCUGUGCUUUGUGUCAGGACGUCCUGAAGGAUCCAGUCUCUACCAGCUGUGGACACUGGUUCUGCAGACAGUGCAUCUGCUCAUACUGGGACCAGUCUGCUUCAUCAGGAGACUCGUCCUGUCCCCAGUGUGGAGAAAGAUCCAGAAGCAGAGCUGGACUGCAGACAGCCAGUCAGAGCAGCUGUGUACAAACAGAUGUUGGUCUGCAGGAGGUUUUAGAUGAACAUAAGA